Molecule: long non-coding RNA, 2302 nt
Filed under: Piliocolobus tephrosceles (Ugandan red Colobus)
Lineage: Eukaryota; Metazoa; Chordata; Mammalia; Primates; Cercopithecidae
Description: lncRNA (ENSPTEG00000005672.1)
Source: RNAcentral
GUAUAAUAAAAGUGAAAAAAAAAAGUUUAUUAUAUCACUAAAAAGUAAAAAUGAAAAAGAAGGUAAAAAUGGGUUAUUAAAAAAGUUUAACAUUUCAUGUAAUAAUAAAAAAAAGAAAGUAAAAAAAAAUGAUAGUAAUGACGAUAAUCAAGUAUAUUUAAAUAAAAUAUUUAUAAAAAAAAAAGUAAAUAAUAAAAAUCUUGUCCCAAUUGGUGAAAGUAUUGAAACAAGCAACAUAAAAAAUGAGUAUAUCAAAAAUAUAUUACAAAAAAACAAUAUAUAUAUUAUAUAUGUUUAUCAAUAUAAACUCUUAAAAUAUUUAUUAAAGCAUAACAAUCUGUUUAUUACUAUUCCAUACUCAGAUUGUAUGUUAUCGUAUAUUAUUUAUUCUUUUUAUAGAAUAAAAUUAACAACGUGUAAUAUACCAAAAAUAACAACUAAACUAGAAAAAAAUAAAGACAAUAUUAUAAGUGACCCAUUUUUAGAUGAUAUACAAAAUGACAAGCCAAAGAAAAACAAAACAAACAAACAAAUAUCGUAUACAGACAAUUCAAUUUUGUUUAUAACAACUUCACAAGAAGAAACUUCAGUUUUGUAUGAGACUAUCAUAAAAUUAAAAAAUCCAAACAUAUCAACAUACAUAAUAUAUAAUGAAAAUGGUAUUAAUAGUAUAAAAAAUAACUUUUUUUUAUAUAAUGUUAUAAUUUUAAAUCUAGAAUUUUUAAUGGAAGAAUGUGAUUUUAGUAUUUUAUUAGAUGGUGUAAGUUUUGUUGUCAUUGAUGAUAUAUAUGAAAUGUAUCAGAAAAAAAAAACAAAUUUAUUAAAAAAAAUUUUAUUAACAUAUAAAGAAAAACAAAAAAAAAAUAACGAGUUACAACUUUUGUUAAUAAAUAAAACAUAUGACGAAUGGAUAGUACAAGAAAUGUUUCAAUAUUUAAAAAGUAUAAAAUAUAAAAUUUAUAUUGAAAAUGAUAUACCUAUUCAGUUAUGUAUCGAACAAGAACAUGAGUGGGAUGAUGUUACAGGCACUGGUAACAGUAACGGGUUGAAUCGUGAUGUACACGGUAGUUUAUUCAAUAGUAUUGUCCCUAUUUUAUACUACAAUUUAAACGAAUGUAAAAAAAGUAGCUGUGAACACUUGAGCAUUAAUGCACCUUUAAACGAGGAUAAAAAGUUUUUAAUAUUAUUUUAUUUAUUAUGUACCAAUAAUAAUAAUAACAGAAAAAAAAAAGUUAUAAUUUUUUAUCAUAAAAAUGAUAUAUACGCAUUUUACAAUUUUGUGAAUUCGUAUAUACCAUGUUUAUUUUUAGAAAAUGCAUAUAAAGUAAAUUUAAAAAAAAGUAUUAUUAACACUUUUAAUAAAACCAAUGACUAUGUUCUUAUCACAAAUGAUAGAAACAUAAAAAUGUUAUACGAAGUAAAUGUACAGCUAAUUAUUCAUUACACAUUUGAUGGAAAUAUUAACUUUUAUUUUGAUAUAUUGUCUGGUAUAAAUGUCGAAACGAAGAGUGAUAAAAAGGACCUUACUUAUACUACAUCAAACAUAUGUGAUAAUAGCACAAAUCAACAUAUGAGUGCGAUUACAAACACAAAUCACCACCAUACUAGUUGCGAACCUGUCCAGUCUGUUUUAUUUUAUAAUAAAAAGCUGAGUAAACAGUACGAGGUACUGAAUAAGAUUGUAAAUUUUAGUAACUAUAUUUUACCUACACAAAGAGAAAUGAAAACCCUUUUUUUACAAUUUUUGAUAAACGAAAUUAGGAAUGUUGUUAUUGAAGAUGAACAUCUUAUAAAAGAAGCGAAAAACAUAUAUGAGAAAUACGAUUAUCAGUUUGUUUCAGCUGCUUUAUAUUAUAUACAAAAAAAAAAGUUAUACAAGAAAAACAUAAAAAAAAAAGAUUAUUUUAAUAUAACUUUUAUUGUUGAAAAAAAUAUUGUUUAUAAUACGAAACAAAAAGUAAUUGAAGUUUUAAAUGAUUUGUUAAAUUAUAAUAGAAACUAUGGUGAUAUAAAUUUUUUUAUGCAAAAUUACUUAUACAGUAAAAGAGGCUAUAUUAUGUCAAUUCCGGAAGAUAUAUAUAAUAUUAUACAUAAAAAUAAAAAUGUUAGUGAAAACAAGGACAAAUAUAAAACUAUGCAAAUGUAUAUUCUAUAUAAUAACUAUGAAAAAAAAUUCACUACAACUUAUGUCAAGAAAGGCAAAUAUAAAUCGAAAAGGUCUAUAAGACGGCUUAAAAAAAGGAUGAACAGAAAGAAAGAACAAAUCGAAAUAAAAAAGUUAAAAAACAAAAUGUCCUCUAUU